RNAcentral lists this microRNA precursor (203 nucleotides) under Oryza glumipatula. RNAcentral describes it as "MIR812 microRNA precursor family". It matches the Rfam family "MIR812 microRNA precursor family". Lineage: Eukaryota; Viridiplantae; Streptophyta; Magnoliopsida; Poales; Poaceae. The record is from Rfam by way of RNAcentral.
AAUAGAUGACGCCGUUGAUUUUUUCUUACAUAUUUAAACAUUCGUCUUAUUUAAAAAGAUUACGUAAUUAUAAUUUAUUUUGUUAUGAGUUAUUUUAACACUCAUGGUACUUUAAGUGUGAUUUAUAUCUCAUACAUUUACAAAAAAAUUUGAAUAAGACGAAUGGUCAAACAUGUGAGAAAAAGUUAACGGUGUCAUCUAUU